RNAcentral lists this ribosomal RNA (497 nucleotides) under uncultured bacterium. RNAcentral describes it as "partial 16S ribosomal RNA". It matches the Rfam family "Bacterial small subunit ribosomal RNA", at positions 28 to 507 of the family's 1533-position model. The record is from RNAcentral.
GAUGAACGCUGGCGGCGUGCCUAAUACAUGCAAGUCGAGCGAACGGACGAGAAGCUUGCUUCUCUGAUGUUAGCGGCGGACGGGUGAGUAACACGUGGAUAACCUACCUAUAAGACUGGGAUAACUUCGGGAAACCGGAGCUAAUACCGGAUGAUAUAUUGAACCGCAUGGUUCAAUAGUGAAAGACGGUCUUGCUGUCACUUAUAGAUGGAUCCGCGCUGCAUUAGCUAGUUGGUAAGGUAACGGCUUACCAAGGCAACGAUGCAUAGCCGACCUGAGAGGGUGAUCGGCCACACUGGAACUGAGACACGGUCCAGACUCCUACGGGAGGCAGCAGUAGGGAAUCUUCCGCAAUGGGCGAAAGCCUGACGGAGCAACGCCGCGUGAGUGAUGAAGGUCUUCGGAUCGUAAAACUCUGUUAUUAGGGAAGAACAUAUGUGUAAGUAACUAUGCACAUCUUGACGGUACCUAAUCAGAAAGCCACGGCUAACUACGUG